Molecule: ribosomal RNA, 1380 nt
Filed under: uncultured organism
Description: partial 16S ribosomal RNA
Rfam family: Bacterial small subunit ribosomal RNA
Source: RNAcentral
GAGUUUGAUCCUGGCUCAGAUUGAACGCUGGCGGCAUGGCUAAAACAUGCAAGUCGAACGAUUAAAGCUUCUUCGGAAGUAUAUAAAGUGGCGUAAGGGCGAGGAAUAUAUUUCUAUGUACCCCUAAGUCAAGGAUAGCCCAGGGAAACUUGGAGUAAUACUUGAUGUGGUCUCCGGAUCAAAGAUUUAUCGCUUAGGGAGCAGGGAAUAUCCUAUCAGGUUGUUGGUGAGGUAACGGCUCACCAAGCCAAAGACGGGUAGCGGGUGUGAGAGCAUGACCCGCCGCAUCGGAACUGAGACACUGUCCGGACUCCUACGGGAGGCUGCAGUAACGAAUAUUCCGCAAUGAGCGAAAGCUUGACGGAGCAAUGCCGCGUGUAGGAUGAAUCUCUUCGGAGUGUAAACUACUGUCAGAGACUAGGAACUCAAUGACCAAUCUCAAAGGAAGGGCCGGCUAACUUCGUGCCAGCAGCCGCGGUAAUACGAAGGGCCCGAGCGUUAUUCGGAAUCACUGGGCUUAAAGCGUACGUAGGCUGGUAUAUAGGCGUCUUGUGAAAUCCCUCGGCUCAACCGAGGAACUGCAAGGCGAACCAUAUAUCUUGAGACAGACAGAGGUCGUCGGAACGAUUGGUGGAGUGGUGAAAUGCGUUGAUAUCAAUCGGAACGCCGAAUGAGAAGUCAGGCGACUGGGUCUGUUCUGACGCUGAGGUACGAAAGCGUGGGUAGCGAACGGGAUUAGAUACCCCGGUAGUCCACGCCGUAAACAAUGUGCACUAUGUCGAGGGCGUUCUGACGCGACUCUCGGCCGAAGCGAAAGCAUUAAGUGCACCGUUUGACAUACACGGAUUAGCUAUAAGAAACUAUAGUGACACCUUCGGGUGGAACGUGAACAGGUGCUGCAUGGCUGUCGUCAGCUCGUGCUGUGAAGUGUCGGGUUAAGUCCCUUAACGAGCGCAACCCUUAUCGUUAGUUGCUAACAGGUAAUGCUGAGGACUCUAGCGAGACUGCCGGUGUUAAACCGGAGGAAGGUGGGGAUGACGUCAAGUCCGCAUGGCCUUUAUGCCUAGGGCUGCACACGUGGUACAAUGGCAAGUACAGAACGAUGCAAUACCGCGAGGUGGAGCAAAUCGCUAAAGCUUGCCCCAGUUCGGAUUGCAGGCUGCAACUCGCCUGCAUGAAGUUGGAAUCGCUAGUAAUCGCGGAUCAGCACGCCGCGGUGAAUACGUUCCUGAGUCUUGUACACACCGCCCGUCAAGUCAUGGAAGCUGGUAGUGCCUUAAGUCGCCGAGAUUCAUCGGUGCCCACGGCAAGACUGGUGACUGGGAGUAAGUCGUAACAAGGUAGCCGUAGGGGAACCUGCGGCUGGAUCACCUCCUUUCU